CCAGGUCCAGUGGACAGACUUCAGACGUCUCUGUGUGUCCGUCCUGUCUCUGGUUGCCAGGUUACAGACGCUGCUGCACCCGCACGUUUAAAAAUGUCUACACCUGAAGCUCCACCACGUCUAAAGAAGCAAAAACGUUUGCAAAUGUACAGACUGGAGUGGGAAGAGUGGAACCCCUGGCAAUGGGUAAAAGGCAAACUGUGUUUUCUGUUGCUCAUGGACUGGCUGAAGUAAGGCAGCAUCAGGAGACAAACAUGGAGGAAAUAUGAGAACAGAGAGAACCCAACCAGCAGGUCACAGUUUAUCAUCAUCUAAUCAUCUCCUGAAGUCGAUAUGGUCCCUCUCUAUCUCCCCACACAUCCACCAACCACUGGAACACAUCUCCAAAGUUCUGCUGGGCCAGCUCAGCUUCCCCUCAGAAGAAGUGCCGCCACCUGCCAGAUGAAGGAGCCUUUUGAGAGGCAGCUGGCAUCGUGAUUGGACUGUACUUUGGUCUGUUCCAGUCCAGCUUCAGCUCCAGAGACGGCAGGCGGGACGAGUCAACGGAGGCCGGGUGGACGAAGGCAUGCAGCUGAGUACAAUCCAGAAAACAGAGGAGUGCAGCAGCCCAGAGCCAGAACAACCAGAGUAGCAUCGUAUGUCUCUUAGAAAACAUCAUAGUAGAGCCUUUGGUAUGAAAAAACACCAUCAUAUACAUCGUAUAUUGUACAAAUAACAAGUCAAAGCAAAGAGACAUACAUUGUAGAAUUGUAGUAAUUGUGGGCUGACUGAUUUACUGAUUAUCAGUAUUUUGUUUUUUACCGAUUUACGGUAAUAAAUACAUUUAAAAAUGG
This is a long non-coding RNA of Amphiprion ocellaris (clown anemonefish), 833 nucleotides long. RefSeq lists it as uncharacterized. Lineage: Eukaryota; Metazoa; Chordata; Actinopteri; Pomacentridae. The record is from RefSeq and is a predicted model, not a curated record. The transcript is spliced from 2 exons.